This 774-nucleotide ribosomal RNA is filed under the name uncultured Neocallimastigales. RNAcentral describes it as "partial large subunit ribosomal RNA". It matches the Rfam family "Eukaryotic large subunit ribosomal RNA", at positions 26 to 627 of the family's 3401-position model. The record is from RNAcentral. Lineage: Eukaryota; Fungi; Neocallimastigomycota; Neocallimastigomycetes; Neocallimastigales.
CGCAUCUGUGCAUGCAGCAUAUCAAUAAGCGGAGGAAAAGAAACUAACAAGGAUUCCCUUAGUAACGGCGAGUGAAGCGGGAAGAGCUCAAAUUUGAAAUCUUCAAGGUUUUACCUUGACGAACUGUAGUUUAAAGAAGUGUUUUCUGUUGAAGUUUUGGUAAAAGUUCUUUGGAAUAGGACAUCAUAGAGGGUGAGAAUCCCGUAUUUGACCAUUAUUUUCAGCUGUGUGAUACACUUUCAAAGAGUCGGAUUGUUUGGGAAUGCAGUCCAAAAUGGGUGGUAAAUCUCAUCUAAAGCUAAAUAUUGGCGAGAGACCGAUAGCGAACAAGUACCGUGAGGGAAAGAUGAAAAGAACUUUGAAAAGAGAGUUAAACAGUACGUGAAAUUGUCAAAAGGGAAGCGUUUGACACCAGUGUUGUUUUCUCGAAAAUCAAUUAAAAAGAGUUAGAUUUUGUUGUGUAUUGACUUUAACAGCUUGCAUUUCAAUUUUCUUGCUUUUUUUAAUGCACUUUUCGUUUAACAAGUCAACAUCAGCUUCUUUUGUUGUAAAAAGGUCAUUGGAAGGUGGCUUUCUUUUCGGAGAAAGUGUUUAUAGCCUUUGACUCCUGCAAUCGGAGAGACUGAGGUCUGCAGCGUAGAUCCUUCGGGGUUAGAUACAUUUGUGCUAAGUUAUAGCUUUUUAUAGACAACUUGUUGACUAUGAUUAGUCUUGUAGCUUACUCGCUUAUGCUAUUUUACCUACGCUUAGGAUGUUGAAGACUCUACAGAGAUA